RNAcentral lists this unclassified non-coding RNA (204 nucleotides) under uncultured Basidiomycota. Its description in RNAcentral is "sequence contains ITS2". Lineage: Eukaryota; Fungi; Basidiomycota. The record is from RNAcentral.
AACUCUCAACCCCCUUGUUUUGUAAUGAGACGAGCGUGGGCUUGGAUUAUGGCUGUCUGUCGGCGCUUUACUGCACCGGCUCGGCUGAAAUACAUGAGCGACCACAUUGAAUACCAGUGACGGUUUGACUCGGCGUAAUAAUAUUCUCGCUGAGGACGUCCAUUAAUUCAAAUAGGCGCUUCUAAUGCUCUAAACCUUUUAAGC